AUGGAUGAAUCAAUUGAUGUAAAUGAUGCUCUCACACAUGCUUCCAACCCAGAUAACAACAUAAGGUCAAUAGGAGAAGACAUGCUAAAGCGGCUCCAAAAUCGUGAUCUUCCCAACUUUCUGCUAUAUUUAUCAUCUGAGCUCGUGAGGGAGGGGAUUCCAGAAGAGUCUAGGGUACUUGCUGCCAUCACCCUUAAGAACUCCUUGGACUCGAAGGAUCCUGCACUCAAGGAUGCACACAAGGAUCUAAUUUGUCUAAAAUGGCUCAGCGUGGAUAAAUCUAUCCGAUUAGAGAUUAAGAAUAACUUGCUCAUGACACUAGAAAUUGAUUCAAGGCCAUCUCAUUCAAGGCACCCCUCGUCAAAAGUUAUUGCAGAAGUUAUUGCGAGGGUUGCAUGCAUGGAGAUACCCCGGAAUCAGUGGCUGGACCUUGUUGGUAAAUUAAUGGACAACAUGGCAAGUUUAUCUUCUUCCCUAAAGCAAGCAACUCUAGAGGUGCUCCAGUAUAUCUUCAAGGCAAAGAUCCCUAACGUUGUCAAGCGGGAUCAAGUGGAUGAUGUUAUUGCUAGUGUCAUCAGUGCACUGAACGACGAGGUGCUAGGUUCUCAAGUCCAUCUGGCAGCCCUUAAAGCUUUACACAACAUUUUUGAGUUUACUAAGUUUGAAGGCCAUGAUUGGAGAGGUGCUAUAGAGGCAGUUUUUGCUGUGGCUUAUAGAACAUCUGGAACAGAGAUCCCAGAGGCAGCAUUUGAGUGCCUCGUUGCAAUUGCAUCCACUUGUCAUACCAAAUUCGAACCCGACGUAGAAGUGCUGAUGCGUAUUACAAUGCAAGCUUUGAAUGGAGAUGUGGAAUCACUUAAAGUCCAAUGUAUCAAGUUGUGGAUCACUAUUUGCGAAAAAGAGAUUGAUUGGCUAGAAGAAGAAGAAGAAGAAGAAGAAGAAGAAGAAGAAGAAGAAGAAGAAGAAAAAGAAGAUAAAGAUGAAUCUUACUUUACUGGUCUUCUCUAUUCAUUGGUCCCACUUCUCCUACAAACUUACUUAAAUGAAGAAGAGAGGGAUUUAGAACAAAUGGACAUUUGGAUCAUUUCCAUGACAUGCCUAGGCCUUGCAGCUAGAAUUCUGAAGGGUGGAGUUGUCCCCACUGUGAUGCAUUUUGUUGAGGAGAACAUGAAUGGGCCACAUAAGAUAGCUGCAUUGUCUCCAUUAGGUUUUAUCCUCGAAGGUCCCUCAGUCAAGCAGCUUGCUCCUCUAGUUGAUUUAUUGCUUGCCUUGAUGGAAUAUCAGGCGGAAGGUGUAAGAGGCAGGGCUGCAUGGACUCUUGGGCGGCUGUUUGAGCUUGUGGAUGCACAUAGAAUCAUGAGAAAUGAGGUGGUGUCCCUGGAUAGGAUCAUGGAGCUCUUGAUAGAGAGGAGCUGUGAUGUCCCUCAAGUGUCCAUUGAAGUGCAUGGAGCUCUAUAUUUUCUUGCACGAGGUUAUGGAGAAGAUGCAAAGUCAGGGUCAAAGUCAAAUUCAUGUGAGCUUUCACCUUUUGUUAAGCCUCUUAUUGAUGCUCUCAUGCGUGCUUCCGAUCUGGCUAGGGAGACCCCUUUUAGUUUCCUAGCAUCUCCUUAUAAAGCAUUGAGUGAGAUUGUGGAAGUUAGUGACACCCGGGACUUACAAGUUUGGGAGGCUCUUAUGGGCUUGAUGUCUCAUAUCAUGAGGAGAUUCAACAUUGUGCUUCAUGGUCAUGGUGCAAUUUCAUCUCUUCAGAGGAAGAACCAACUUGAGGUCUUGUUGUGUGGUCUAGUUGAAGUCUUAAUCCACAAGCUUGGAGAUACACUUGAGGGGUCUGCUAAAUGUUUGUUGCUGUUAUUGUGCCCUCUCUUAACCCGUGAGAGUACAAGUGCACGUAAUGGAGCAGCCCUUGCCAUUGGUGCUCUUGCUCAUGCCAUUGGUGCUGAUUUUGGACAACACAUGCCUAUGGUGCUACAAUAUUUCAGUGUGAAGCGACUCUCUCCACUUUAUUUAGAAGUUAUAUGUGAUAUAUGCCAUGUCUUGGGAAAAGAGGGAAAAGAGGAAGAAGUUGUGCCGUGCUUUGAUCAUAUUAUGGAAGUUCUGUAUCAAGGUAUGGUAGAAUUGACACUUCAACCUCUAAUUCUAUCAAGCAUUGGACAGAUUGCUCUUUCUCUUGGUGAGAAGUUUGAGAAGUACCUGCCUCCAGUUAUGGAAAAGCUUUUAGUUAUGGAAAAGGCUGUUCAACUCGAUCAGGAUCCUCAUGAGGAUCAUAGUAACAAGGUUAGAGAGGCAAUAUGUAAGGCCUACCAUGGCAUAAUAAGGGGAAUAAGUGAUGCAAAGUCUGGAUUCAAGGUAGGAAUGGCUCUACUUGAAUUCAGUGAACAGGAGAGAAAGAGAAGGUAA
Molecule: ribosomal RNA, 2397 nt
Filed under: Triticum aestivum (bread wheat)
Lineage: Eukaryota; Viridiplantae; Streptophyta; Magnoliopsida; Poales; Poaceae
Description: partial small subunit ribosomal RNA
Source: RNAcentral